CUACGGGAGGCUGCAGUGAGGAAUAUUGCACAAUGGGGGGAACCCUGAUGCAGCAACGCCGCGUGGAGGAUGACGCAUUUCGGUGUGUAAACUCCUUUUAUAUGUCAAGAAAAUGACGGUAGCAUAUGAAUAAGCACCGGCUAACUCCGUGCCAGCAGCCGCGGUAAUACGGAGGGUGCAAGCGUUACUCGGAAUCACUGGGCGUAAAGGACGCGUAGGCGGGUUGGAAAGUCAGGUGUGAAAUCCUACAGCUUAACUGUAGAACUGCACUUGAAACUUCUAAUCUAGAGUAUGGGAGGGGGAGAUGGAAUUAGUGGUGUAGGGGUAAAAUCCGUAGAUAUCACUAGGAAUACCUAAAGCGAAGGCGAUCUCCUGGAACAUUACUGACGCUGAGACGCGAAAGCGUGGGGAGCAAACAGGAUUAGAUACCCCCGUAGUC
This 439-nucleotide ribosomal RNA is filed under the name uncultured bacterium. RNAcentral describes it as "partial 16S ribosomal RNA". It matches the Rfam family "Bacterial small subunit ribosomal RNA", at positions 339 to 795 of the family's 1533-position model. The record is from RNAcentral.